This 422-nucleotide ribosomal RNA is filed under the name uncultured microorganism. RNAcentral describes it as "bacterial SSU rRNA". It matches the Rfam family "Bacterial small subunit ribosomal RNA", at positions 9 to 429 of the family's 1533-position model. The record is from RNAcentral.
GAGUUUGAUCGUGGCUCAGAUUGAACGCUGGCGGCAUGCCUUACACAUGCAAGUCGAACGGCAGCAUGAUCUAGCUUGCUAGAUUGAUGGCGAGUGGCGAACGGGUGAGUAAUACAUCGGAACGUGCCCUGUAGUGGGGGAUAACUAGUCGAAAGAUUAGCUAAUACCGCAUACGACCUGAGGGUGAAAGUGGGGGACCGCAAGGCCUCAUGCUAUAGGAGCGGCCGAUGUCUGAUUAGCUAGCUGGUGGGGUAAAGGCCCACCAAGGCGACGAUCAGUAGCUGGUCUGAGAGGACGAUCAGCCACACUGGGACUGAGACACGGCCCAGACUCCUACGGGAGGCAGCAGUGGGGAAUUUUGGACAAUGGGCGAAAGCCUGAUCCAGCAAUGCCGCGUGUGUGAAGAAGGCCUCGGUUGUAAG